RNAcentral lists this long non-coding RNA (247 nucleotides) under Carica papaya (papaya). RNAcentral's name for it is "long non-coding RNA (CPAP_LNC011330)". Lineage: Eukaryota; Viridiplantae; Streptophyta; Magnoliopsida; Brassicales; Caricaceae. The record is from RNAcentral.
UGAGUGCCAAAUUACCAAUCCUCGAUACCCGUCCGGUAUGAGGUAACGUUCACGGUAGGAUUUCUUAUGUACACGGUCCGUCCACCAUCUCCUAAGAUAUCCAGUAAUGUUGUCGUUCAUUCAUCCACUUAAUCAAAUAAUUUCAUGUUUAUCUUUAAUUUUUAGUUUCCCAAUUUAAUCGUAAUAACAUAAAACAAACAAUACAUGCAUCAAGGAAACACAAUCACAUCAUCAUACCAAUUCCAGU